CAGGGGGCCCCUCUCCGCCUGCUUAUUCCCCCUGGAUCUAACGACAGCAGCUAGUUCUGCAAGGAGCUCCUCGAGCUGGAACACCUGAAUUAAAACGUGAAGGACUGGAAAAAAGAAAAGGAGGGAGGUGCGAGGGGAGAGGAAGGGAGAAGCAAAAUGGAGCAGGCGGCGGCAGAGAGGGGUGCACAAGGAAAAACUUGGCAGACAGCAUCAUAUGGAGGAAGAUGUGGCCUCUCCUGUCCAAAUGUGAAGUGUACACUGACUCUACCCUGACUGGGGAAGGGAAAGAGUGCUCUCUUGUUCUGCCAGGAACUUGAUUUAGCCAGCUCUGGCUACAGCAGGGCUGACCCCAUUGAAGGUGGUGGGAAAGCAGCCUUUUCCCCCACUUGCUUGCUGGACCGGAGAUCAGAGGAGACCUGGGCUCCCUGGGGAUGGGAUGGACCUGGCAGUAAAAUAAACUGGGAAACCAUA
Marmota flaviventris (yellow-bellied marmot) is the source of this 471-nucleotide long non-coding RNA. RefSeq lists it as uncharacterized. Lineage: Eukaryota; Metazoa; Chordata; Mammalia; Rodentia; Sciuridae. The record is from RefSeq and is a predicted model, not a curated record.